This 576-nucleotide ribosomal RNA is filed under the name uncultured bacterium. RNAcentral describes it as "bacterial SSU rRNA". It matches the Rfam family "Bacterial small subunit ribosomal RNA", at positions 338 to 916 of the family's 1533-position model. The record is from RNAcentral.
CCUACGGGAGGCAGCAGUGAGGAAUAUUGGUCAAUGGUCGCAAGACUGAACCAGCCAUGCCGCGUGCAGGAAGACGGUCCUAUGGAUUGUAAACUGCUUUUAUACAGGAAGAAACCCUCCCACGUGUGGGAGCUUGACGGUACUGUAGGAAUAAGGAUCGGCUAACUCCGUGCCAGCAGCCGCGGUAAUACGGAGGAUCCAAGCGUUAUCCGGAAUCAUUGGGUUUAAAGGGUCCGUAGGCGGUCUUAUAAGUCAGUGGUGAAAGCCCAUCGCUCAACGAUGGAACUGCCAUUGAUACUGUAAGACUUGAAUGCUUAGGAAGUAACUAGAAUAUGUAGUGUAGCGGUGAAAUGCUUAGAUAUUACAUGGAAUACCAAUUGCGAAGGCAGGUUACUACUAAGUGAUUGACGCUGAUGGACGAAAGCGUGGGGAGCGAACAGGAUUAGAUACCCUGGUAGUCCACGCCGUAAACGAUGGAUACUAGCUGUUCGGCGCAAGUUGAGUGGCUAAGCGAAAGUGAUAAGUAUCCCACCUGGGGAGUACGCACGCAAGUGCGAAACUCAAAGGAAUUGACGG